GCCGAAGUAGCUCAGCUGGUAGAGCAAUGCUUUCGUAAAGCAGAGGUCGUGAGUUCGAUCCUCACCUUCGGCUCCA
RNAcentral lists this transfer RNA (76 nucleotides) under Candidatus Kuenenbacteria bacterium. Its description in RNAcentral is "tRNA-Thr". It matches the Rfam family "tRNA". Rfam says of the family: Transfer RNA (tRNA) molecules are approximately 80 nucleotides in length. Their secondary structure includes four short double-helical elements and three loops (D, anti-codon, and T loops). Lineage: Bacteria; Candidatus Kueneniibacteriota. The record is from RNAcentral.